UGGGAACGUGCCCAAAGGUACGGAACAACUCCGGGAAACUGGAGCUAAUACCGUAUGUGCCCGAAAGGGGAAAGAUUCAUCGCCUUUGGAUCGGCCCGCGUCUGAUUAGCUAGUUGGCGGGGUAAUGGCCCACCAAGGCGACGAUCAGUAGCUGGUCUGAGAGGAUGAUCAGCCACACUGGGACUGAGACACGGCCCAGACUCCUACGGGAGGCAG
This 216-nucleotide ribosomal RNA is filed under the name uncultured bacterium. RNAcentral describes it as "partial 16S ribosomal RNA". It matches the Rfam family "Bacterial small subunit ribosomal RNA", at positions 118 to 351 of the family's 1533-position model. The record is from RNAcentral.